Long non-coding RNA from Melospiza melodia melodia, 490 nucleotides. RefSeq lists it as uncharacterized. The record is from RefSeq and is a predicted model, not a curated record. NCBI's taxonomy places the organism in Eukaryota, Metazoa, Chordata, Aves, Passeriformes, Passerellidae. The transcript is spliced from 4 exons.
GCCGAAUAAACCUCGGGAGACAACGCAGGAAGAAUAUCUUUCUACUUUUUAGUGCAAGCGUGGGGCUGUUCCAUCCGCUUAUCCUGCGCUCCUUUUCCCCAAGUGACAGUAACUCAUCUUCCAAGGCAAAGCGAGUUCCUCCGCACACCAAGCGGCGCCCAGAAAUGCUCUUUAAGGGAUUAGGCUGAUCCAUGAAACCUUGAAGAUCUUCAGUCUCUUUCACUAAGGAUUCCCAGAAUGUAUCCCAGGUGCUUUGAGCUGAAGAUUGGGAUAAAGAGCAGCAUCUUGUAUGUUGGAUGUUGUCCUCAGCUCUGAACUGACAUCCAGCUGAUGGGAAGGUGGAAACCUGCUUCUCUCACCCUGCUCCUUGAGUCCCUGCCAUAAGGAGGUGGAGAGGAAACUUGCAUUUCACUUGCCAUUCACAACACGGAAACCAGAUGAAGAGAGUACUUGCAAUGAAUUUGGAGCCAAACAAGAGCUGAAGAAAGAA